This 107-nucleotide ribosomal RNA is filed under the name uncultured bacterium. RNAcentral's name for it is "partial 16S ribosomal RNA". It matches the Rfam family "Bacterial small subunit ribosomal RNA", at positions 1367 to 1482 of the family's 1533-position model. The record is from RNAcentral.
UACGUUCCCGGACCUUGCACACACCGCCCGUCAAGCCAUGGAAGCUGGGUGUACCUAAAGUCGGUAGCCGCAAGGAGCCGCCUAGGGUAAAACUAGUGACUGGGGCU